This 447-nucleotide unclassified non-coding RNA is filed under the name Hevea brasiliensis (rubber tree). The record is from RNAcentral. Lineage: Eukaryota; Viridiplantae; Streptophyta; Magnoliopsida; Malpighiales; Euphorbiaceae.
AGUUUUUGGUAUCAUGAGCAAAAAAUAACUAUUAGCUAUAGUUAUAUAAUUUAAAAUGCUGACUUAAUAUAUAUUUAUUUAAUCCUAUAAACAAAAAAUUUAUUCAUUUAGAAAUUAUAAUGUUUUAAAUUAACCUAUGAAUAAAAACUAUUUAUUUGAUCAACAAGCAAUGCAAUAUAGUUUUAUGAUACAUUCAUUGCACGUGAUUUAAAUGUUAUAAAUUAAUUAAUGAGCUUAAUUCCCAAACCUUUAGAUUUUUGUCUUUUCUUUAUCUACUUUUUAAGUCUAUUCAACUAAUUUUCUUGAAUUCAACUUUAUAAAUGUAAUAUAAACAAAAAAAAAGGAUAAAUGAAAUGUGUGUUGUGGUGGGGCGAUUUAUUUUUAGGUUUAGGUUUUCACAUUUAAAUAAGAUUUAUUUAUUAAAUAGUCUUAUUUAAUAAGAUUUUC